GACGAACGCUGGCGGCGUGCCUAAUACAUGCAAGUCGAGCGGACGGAUGGGAGCUUGCUCCCAGACCGUCAGCGGCGGACGGGUGAGUAACACGUGGGCAACCUGCCUGUAAGACUGGGAUAACUCCGGGAAACCGGGGCUAAUACCGGAUAACUCUUUCCCUCACAUGAGGGAAAGCUGAAAGAUGGCAUCUCGCUAUCACUUACAGAUGGGCCCGCGGCGCAUUAGCUAGUUGGUGAGGUAACGGCUCACCAAGGCGACGAUGCGUAGCCGACCUGAGAGGGUGAUCGGCCACACUGGGACUGAGACACGGCCCAGACUCCUACGGGAGGCAGCAGUAGGGAACCUUCCGCAAUGGACGAAAGUCUGACGGAGCAACGCCGCGUGAGUGAUGAAGGUUUUCGGAUCGUAAAACUCUGUUGUCAGGGAAGAACAAGUACCGGAGUAACUGCCGGUACCUUGACGGUACCUGACCAGAAAGCCACGGCUAACUACGUG
This 498-nucleotide ribosomal RNA is filed under the name uncultured bacterium. Its description in RNAcentral is "partial 16S ribosomal RNA". It matches the Rfam family "Bacterial small subunit ribosomal RNA", at positions 28 to 507 of the family's 1533-position model. The record is from RNAcentral.